This 435-nucleotide ribosomal RNA is filed under the name uncultured bacterium. RNAcentral's name for it is "partial 16S ribosomal RNA". It matches the Rfam family "Bacterial small subunit ribosomal RNA", at positions 29 to 507 of the family's 1533-position model. The record is from RNAcentral.
AGCGAACGCUGGCGGCAGGCUUAACACAUGCAAGUCGAACGGGCGUAGCAUUACGUCAUCGGCUGACGGGUGGGUAACGGGUGGGAACGUACGUUUUGGUCCGGAACUACACAGGGGAACUUGUUCUAAUACCGGAGAAGACCUUACGGGGGAAGAUUUAUCGCCGAAGGCUCGGGCCGCGUCUGAUUAGCUAGUUGGUUGGGUAACGGCUUACCAAGGCGACGAUCAGUAGCUGGUCUGAGAGGAUGAUCAGCCACAUUGGGACUGAGACACGGCCCAGACUCCUAGGGAAGGCAGCAGUGGGGAAUAUUGGACAAUGGGGGCAACCCUGAUCCAGCCAUGCCGGGUAAGUGAUGAAGGCGCUAGGGUUGUGAAGCUCUUUUGUACGGGAAGAUAAUGACGGUACCGCAAGAAUAAGCCCCGGCUAACUUCGUG